RNA transcript from Topomyia yanbarensis, 2240 nucleotides. It is a transcript of the gene named serine/arginine-rich splicing factor 2, with no coding region annotated. Lineage: Eukaryota; Metazoa; Arthropoda; Insecta; Diptera; Culicidae. The record is from RefSeq and is a predicted model, not a curated record. The transcript has 5 exons.
AAGUGGAAAGUACCGUGAAGUCACUGAAGCCAGCCUGCGAUCAUACGAAGAGCAAACACGCUGUGGUCGCUGCGUAGUUUUCUUCGGUGGUUUGAAAAGUGAAAUUCUGCUGGAAAAUUAUAUCGUUUGUGCAUCAUAGUUUGUUAUUUCAACAAAGUGAAGGCCAAGCUGGUGCAGCAUUGCUAAAAUCGACAUCAUGAGCAACAGCAAUUAUGGACGGCCUCCGCCGAGAAUCGACGGAAUGGUUUCCCUAAAGGUCGAUAAUCUAACUUAUCGAACAACUCCAGAUGACCUACGUCGCGUUUUUGAACGCUGCGGCGAAGUGGGUGACAUUUACAUUCCUCGUGAUCGCCACACCCGUGAAAGUCGCGGCUUUGCAUUCGUCAGAUUCUUUGAUAAGCGUGACGCUCAGGACGCUUUAGAUGCCAUGGACGGGCGCAUGUUAGACGGAAGGGAGCUCCGUGUUCAGAUGGCUCGCUACGGACGGCCUACUUCACCACAACGUGGAAGCGGCGGCGGAGGAGGUGGAGGCCGCCGAUACAAUGGUCGUGAGAGAGGUCGUUCACGCGACCGCAAUCGACGUCGCUCCCGAUCGGUUGAUCGACCCCGUGGAGGUGGUGGACGACGGUCAUACUCGCGCUCAAAGUCCCGUUCCCGUGACCGAUCUCGCUCCGGUAGCAAAUCGUCCCGUGGCAAAGAUUCCAGAUCCCGCAGUCCUCUGGAUCGUGGAACGCACUACUAGAGCGGCAUCACUAUUUAAGAAGCGCGCUCUAGAACCGACUUAGGACCGUAUGUAAGCAAAUGAUCCAGCCAAAAAUGCAGUGAAAUUUUUUAAACCGAUGAGUGAAGCGUAUGAGUUUUAUUCUAAACAUCUUUCUUCGAACAUUAGCAACCAACAAAUGACGAGUGGUGUAGGUUAAAUAAGAACAGCUGCCGAAAGUGAGGCAAUUGGAGUAAGGGCAUACGCGGUUGCAUGCUGCUGCUGCUGUUGCCUGUAACGAAAGAGAGGAGAUCACGUCAACAGAGACAGAGAAUGAGAGAAAGGGAGCAUAAGAGAUCUCCAAACAGCUGCGUUGCAGAGAGAAAGCGUACGUCUCCCCUGUUCCGUGCCUGCCGGUCAUCCUUCGUUUACAAGAACCUACGCGUAUCCUCCAUUUGGCAGACCGCGUGGACUUUUCAGACCGCAGAGUUUGCCCUCUUCAAAAACAAUUCGCUGCCUUGCUGAUCGCUGUAUCGCUGGCUGGCUUGCUGUCGGUUGCCGCACAUGUAGCACAGAGUGUAGUUCCUCGGGAGGUGUCUACGGGCUGACAAUGAUGCGGACGCAGAUCGCCGUUUGUUCCGGAAAACCGCCGCAGCUUAGAAAAAUGUGCUGCCGAAAACUUCUUUUCUGCGCUGCGGCAUUGCUCUUCCCGUUACUUGCAGGAGGGACUUCGGAAGCGGCUGGCUUUUGUUGCUGCUGCUGCGACCGAGUUAACAUUCUCUUUUUUCUUUUCCUUCUUUUUCUACAUUCUAGUGCCCAGUAUUUCAAAACUCUUCGAUCUUAAUUUUGUUUUGUUUUAUUAAUUGCUGCCAAAGUAUUUUGCAUGUCUGUACCGAUGGCGUUGCCGACAAACGUAGAGCCCGGCAGCAGACGAAGAGAGAGAAAAUGAAGUAUGAUACAGGCAGAAGUUUUCCCGGGGUUUAUCUUAAAAAUUUAGCGUUCGUAGCAUGAGAAAGGAGCAGACGAGAGAGGUGUUAAAAGUUGGCGGAACGUUGGGGAGACUUGUAGCGGAGGGCAUCCGGAGGAAAGCGUGUUUAAAGCAGAUCGAUUGCAGAGAUUGCAGGCUCGCGUCAUCGAGAAUGUUCGUGACUUGCUACGUAUCCUGUCUCAUAUCUUUUUCUAGGUUACACCUAAACUACCGUUAAGCUGCUGUUUUUCCCGACCAGUUCCAAACAUGGAUAAGUUUUAUAUUUUCAGAUAAGCCCCACAACCCCCUCAACUUACACAAUUCGAUAUUCGACGGAUCAAGGACUAUGGACCCAUGCUUCUCCGACUUAUCACAUAACCGAUGGUAAGUUUAUUGGAUUCAUUGAAGAAACAACGCAAACUCAUCCACCUACUGGAUUUUACAUUUAAUUUUCUAUGCUACAUUCAAAUGAAUACAUUUUAUGCUAUCUCUACACAUAACAAUAACUUAAAACUGUACGAAUGAUCAGAACCAGCGAAAUAAAUCGUAAUAAAAGUUCUACAUAUUAUCCAA